RNAcentral lists this ribosomal RNA (416 nucleotides) under uncultured Thelephoraceae. RNAcentral describes it as "eukaryotic LSU rRNA". The stretch from base 333 to 416 matches the Rfam family "Eukaryotic large subunit ribosomal RNA", at positions 1 to 84 of the family's 3401-position model. The record is from RNAcentral. Lineage: Eukaryota; Fungi; Basidiomycota; Agaricomycetes; Thelephorales; Thelephoraceae.
GAAAUGACGAUAACGUAAUGUGAAUUGCACGAAUUCAGUGAAGUCGUCGGAAUCUUUGAACGCACCUUGCGCCCUUUGGCUAUUCCGAAGGGCAUGCCUGUUUGAGUAUCAUGAACACCUCAACUCUCAUGGUCCGCCACGAUGAGCUUGGACUUUGGGGGUCUUGCCGGCCUAGCGUCGGCUCCUCUCAAAUGGAUCAGCUCGCCAGUGUUUGGUGGCAUCACGGGUGUGAUAACUAUCUACGCUUGUGGUUUUCCGCCAUGUAACCUUCGUCACGGAGGUUCGCUGGGGCUCACAGAUGUCUCUCCUUGAAGGACAGCUUUUUGAACAUUUGAUCUCAAAUCAGGUAGGACUACCCGCUGAACUUAAGCAUAUCAAUAAGCGGAGGAAAAGAAACUAACAAGGAUUCCCCUAGU